RNAcentral lists this unclassified non-coding RNA (314 nucleotides) under Hevea brasiliensis (rubber tree). Lineage: Eukaryota; Viridiplantae; Streptophyta; Magnoliopsida; Malpighiales; Euphorbiaceae. The record is from RNAcentral.
AAAAAACCAGUAGAAGAAAUCACACUCCUGUUACAUGUAAACUUAAUGAAUGGUAUGCAAUCUUUUCAUUAUUUCAAUUAUGCUUAAUCACAAUACACAAGAGAAUUGUUGGUGUCCUAUUCACUACUUCAGUCUGACCAUUUGUUUGUGAGUGACAAGUGGUGUAAAACAAUAGUCUAGUAUCUAACUUAUCCCUCAACACUUUCCAUAAAUGACUAAAAAACUUAGCAUCUUUGUCAUUCAUAGUACUCCUAGGAAUUCCAUGCAAUCUUACAUCUCUGAAGAAUAAAUCAGCAAUGUAUGCAGCAUUAUUA